Molecule: long non-coding RNA, 673 nt
Organism: Drosophila hydei
Lineage: Eukaryota; Metazoa; Arthropoda; Insecta; Diptera; Drosophilidae
Exons: 2
Source: RefSeq, a predicted model, not a curated record
GUUACUUUUCGUUCAAUUUCUUUUGGUGUUCGCCGUUUGCCGUUUGCCGUUUGAUAACAAUUUUUUCACGCACUUUGAUUUACGUUUUAGGGCCAAUAUUUUAUUUUUAUGUGCUCACGCGCGCCCGCAAUCAAACGAAAUGAGUUUACGCUGAAUUUCAAAAUUUGAAUAUUUUUGAGUACAAGUUCGCACAAAAAUUAUAUUGGAAUUUCAGUUUUAAUUGGAGGGCUAUAAAGCUGGUCUAAGGAGCUAGGCUUUUUUCCUUUCAACUGCUUUUUCAGGCUGUCUCAGAGAACGCAACAGGCUGACGACGAGCGAAGAACUCAGAGCUCGAACCGUUGCUCGCUUGUUUUUAUAUUGCAGCCAGUGGACGACGCUGAGCGCUCCACGAAGAGUGCCAAGCCGAGCAGCAAGGACGACGACGACGAAAGGACGACGACAGGUCGAAACCACGCGACUAGUUAUGAAUGAAUCCAUGCGACACGCACCAACGUGGGAGGCUCCACAUGUGGGCACCCCAGCUACGAAAAUCGCAGCAAAUGUUGCUCGACCUGCUAACGUUAAUGUUGACAACAUGUUGCUGCAACAUUUUCCAGCAACAUUCUGUCUUUCUGUUUUGUAUUUUCCCUUUUAAUUAUCGAACUCAAUUAAUAUGGAAUGAAUUUUUAUUCGC